Molecule: long non-coding RNA, 278 nt
Filed under: Manduca sexta (tobacco hornworm)
Lineage: Eukaryota; Metazoa; Arthropoda; Insecta; Lepidoptera; Sphingidae
Description: uncharacterized LOC119190833
Source: RNAcentral
GAUACUACCACUAAGGAGUUGUUAGGGAGCUGUGGAACUAAGUAUAGAUGGGUCCAUGGCCCAGCAAACAGUCUCUGAGUGCCUCAGGCAAGUGUCUGAGUCAGCCUCAUAUAUUGACUAAAUUUAUAAAAUUUCCACAAAACCGACAAGAAAGGACUCUUAUUAAAGAACAAAUCAAAUAAUUAAACAACUACUAACUCGCUAGAGCUGCCAUAACCAACACUGCAUGACGCAUGGAAGAUUAACUACCAAAUAUAUGUUAUCGGAAAAUAAAACAU